This is a long non-coding RNA of Populus trichocarpa (black cottonwood), 275 nucleotides long. RefSeq lists it as uncharacterized. NCBI's taxonomy places the organism in Eukaryota, Viridiplantae, Streptophyta, Magnoliopsida, Malpighiales, Salicaceae. The transcript is spliced from 2 exons. The record is from RefSeq and is a predicted model, not a curated record.
ACGUGGGUCGUUUGAGGAUCUGUUCCAUGGUCAUACAAUCUUGCAAGGCCAAAAUCCCCUAAUCUUCCAUUCAAUUCACCAUCUAGCAAGACAUUACUAGCCUUGACAUCUCUAUGAAUCACAACUUGCUCCCAUUCUUCAUGCAGAUAUAAUAGCCCUGAAGCUACGCCUUUGAUGACUCUAAAUCUUUGGCUCCAAUUGAGGGCGACUGUUGGUUGGUCAUAGAGGUAUUUGUCUAGACUUCCAUUAGGCAUGUAGUCAUAUACCAAAAGUAG